AGUGAACGCUGGCGGUAGGCCUAACACAUGCAAGUCGAACGGCAGCACAGUAAGAGCUUGCUCUUACGGGUGGCGAGUGGCGGACGGGUGAGGAAUACAUCGGAAUCUACUUUUUCGUGGGGGAUAACGUAGGGAAACUUACGCUAAUACCACAUACGACCUACGGGUGAAAGCAGGGGAUCUUCGGACCUUGCGCGAUUGAAUGAGCCGAUGUCGGAUUAGCUAGUUGGCGGGGUAAAGGCCCACCAAGGCGACGAUCCGUAGCUGGUCUGAGAGGAUGAUCAGCCACACUGGAACUGGGACACGGUCCAGACUCCUACGGGAGGCAGCAGUGGGGAAUAUUGGACAAUGGGCGCAAGCCUGAUCCAGCCAUACCGCGUGGGUGAAGAAGGCCUUCGGGUUGUAAAGCCCUUUUGUUGGGAAAGAAAAGCAGCAGGUUAAUACCCCGCUGUUCUGACGGUACCCAAAGAAUAAGCACCGGCUAACUUCGUG
This 492-nucleotide ribosomal RNA is filed under the name uncultured bacterium. Its description in RNAcentral is "partial 16S ribosomal RNA". It matches the Rfam family "Bacterial small subunit ribosomal RNA", at positions 29 to 507 of the family's 1533-position model. The record is from RNAcentral.